This 775-nucleotide ribosomal RNA is filed under the name uncultured Neocallimastigales. RNAcentral's name for it is "partial large subunit ribosomal RNA". It matches the Rfam family "Eukaryotic large subunit ribosomal RNA", at positions 23 to 616 of the family's 3401-position model. The record is from RNAcentral. Lineage: Eukaryota; Fungi; Neocallimastigomycota; Neocallimastigomycetes; Neocallimastigales.
AGAGAGAGACAUGCGCGCAUAUCAAUAAGCGGAGGAAAAGAAACUAACAAGGAUUCCCCUAGUAACGGCGAGUGAAGCGGGAAGAGCUCAAAUUUGAAAUCUUAAAGGGUUUCCCUUUACGAAUUGUAGUUUAAAGAAGUGUUUUCUGUUGAGGUUUUGGUAAAAGUUCUUUGGAAUAGGACAUCAUAGAGGGUGAGAAUCCCGUAUUUGACCUUUACUUUCAACUUUGUGAUACACUUUCAAAGAGUCGGAUUGUUUGGGAAUGCAGUCCAAAAUGGGUGGUAAAUUUCAUCUAAAGCUAAAUAUUGGCGAGAGACCGAUAGCGAACAAGUACCGUGAGGGAAAGAUGAAAAGAACUUUGAAAAGAGAGUUAAAACAGUACGUGAAAUUGUCAAAAGGGAAGCGUUUGACACCAGUGUUGUUUUUCUGAAAAUCAAUUAAAGAACUGUUUAUGCUAAGUUGUUUAGACUUUAUCAGCUAACUGUUUAGUUUUGAGCUUUUCUUUAAUGCACUUUUCAGUUAACAAGUCAACAUCAAUUUCUUUUGCUGUAAAAAAGCUUGAGGAAGGUGGCUUGAGAUUCGUCUUAAGUGUUUAUAGCCUCUUGCCUAUGCAGUCGGAGAGAUUGAGGUCUGCAGCGUAGAUCCUUCGGGGCUAAAUGCAUUUGUGCUAAGUUAUAGCAUUUUAUAGACAACUUGUUGACUAUGAUCUGUCAUGUAGCUUACUCGCUUAUGCUAUUUUACCUACGCUUAGGAUGUUGAGCGCAUGUCUCUCUCU